GAUGAACGCUGGCGGCGUGCUUAACACAUGCAAGUCGAACGAACCUUCGGGUUAGUGGCGGACGGGUGAGUAACGCGUGGGAAUCUGCCCUCAGGAGGGGGAUAACGGUUGGAAACGACCGCUAAUACCCCAUAUGCCGAGAGGUGAAAUGAAUUUCGCCUGAGGAUGAGCCCGCGUCUGAUUAGCUUGUUGGUGGGGUAAUGGCUCACCAAGGCUUCGAUCAGUAGCUGGUCUGAGAGGAUGAUCAGCCACACUGGGACUGAGACACGGCCCAGGCUCCUACGGGAGGCAGCAGUGGGGAAUUUUCCGCAAUGGGCGAAAGCCUGACGGAGCAACGCCGCGUGAGGGAUGAAGGCCUCUGGGCUGUAAACCUCUUUUCUCAAGGAAGAAGAUAU
RNAcentral lists this ribosomal RNA (395 nucleotides) under uncultured marine cyanobacterium. RNAcentral describes it as "bacterial SSU rRNA". It matches the Rfam family "Bacterial small subunit ribosomal RNA", at positions 28 to 454 of the family's 1533-position model. The record is from RNAcentral. Lineage: Bacteria; Bacillati; Cyanobacteriota.